Ylistrum balloti is the source of this 4864-nucleotide long non-coding RNA. RefSeq lists it as uncharacterized. The transcript is spliced from 3 exons. The record is from RefSeq and is a predicted model, not a curated record. NCBI's taxonomy places the organism in Eukaryota, Metazoa, Mollusca, Bivalvia, Pectinida, Pectinidae.
UGGAUUGGUAUAAUAUUUUUACCACAGAUUGGAAAAUUAUUUGUAAAGUUGUUUUUUCUUCCAUCUUUAACAACUUGAUUUAAAAGAUUUCGGCCAAAUUGUUGGUCAGUAAAGGUGAUACGUGGAAUUAUUUGUGGAAAUAUGUGUCGGACGAUAAUCAUGAAGGAUGAGUUUUUCAAGUACAUGGUAAUUUCUGUUCCUUCACAUCCUACAUUCCAGCACUGAUGAACGAUAUGUAAGAUAGAAAUUAACUCUUGCUGUUCAAACUUACCCAACAAGUGUUCGACCGCUUCAUCAGAUGGUUCAGAACCAUGUACUGGGACUUAAUACUGAGGUAGCAGUUCUGAUUUAGAAAAGAUGUGACCCUGCCCAAAAUGGACAUCAGAUUCCAAAGGCUACAUCCAUUCUUCAUGUAAAGAUGGGACAGGAAACAAUAAUUGAGUGGGAUACUUCUACUUAACACAUUCAAGAUUAUAUUGUGUAAUUGAUAUUCUGAAGGAUAUAAAUUACUGAAGAAAAUAUCAUCAGUAACAUCAGGUCAUGUGUUCAAACUGAAGGAAUAGUGAAUCAGCAGGAAAGACAGCUCGGACCUUGUGUGCACCAAUUAACCAGAAUAUUGUUUUGCCUAUGCUAACUACAGAGCUGAAACACACUUGGAUAACAUUUAAUAUUAUCAACUUAAAACACAACAGAUUUGGAACAAUAACAAAACAGCCAAUGAUUGAGGAUGAUAUUUCCUAUUUCACCAUUGGUUACCACGAUUUCUACUUGUCUUCCUUGAUAUUCCAUCUUGUUUUCAUGGAAUUCAUCUAGAUAAAUUUGAUUAACCAUGUUUAAAAAUGAACAAAUGGAUGGAUAUAAUGACCAAGGAUUACACCUCAAACAUGGACUUCAGGAGACACUCGGGGAUUUUACUUCUAACAUGGACUUCAGCAGACACUCGGGGAUUUUACCUCUAACAUGGACUUCAGCAGACAGUCAGGGAUUUUACCUCUAACAUGGACUUCAGCAGACAGUCAGGGAUUUUACCUCUAACAUGGACUUCAGCAGACAGUCAGGGAUUUUACCUCUAACAUGGACUUCAGCAGACAGUCAGGGAUUUUACCUCUAACAUGGACUUCAGCAGACAGUCAGGGAUUUUACCUCUAACAUGGACUUCAGCAGACAGUCAGGGAUUUUACCUCUAACAUGGACUUCAGCAGACACUCAGGGAUUUUACCUCUAACAUGGACUUCAGCAGACAGUCAGGGAUUUUACCUCAAACAUGACUUAAGCCGACAGUAUAAUUGUAUUAUCUUAUCCCAAUUAUUGCCAAACAACUGAAAUCGAUCUGAAUUGUAUUUUGAAAUGAAUAACUUGGCCCUACAUGCAAUAGGCCUAUUGUCAUUUACUGAUGGAGGUGAAAGGCUUUCAUGAUUAUUAAAUGACAUGAAUCUAGAUCAAUUAAGAAGGUCACAAAACUUAAAUAAUUGAAGAAUAUUUCACAGCUUAUUGCAAAUUAGAGGUCAUGAAGAUUUGUUUGUUUUAGCAUUACAGCCCUGUUCAAGAUUUGUGGAUUUCAGGGCUAGAGUAAUACUGCCUUUCUACGGAUUUUAGGGUUAACUGGAGCAUUAAAACCUUGUUGUUGGAGAUUUGUGGAUUGAAGCAUUACAGUUCGGUUUGGGAUUUCUGGGUUUGUGGGAUAGCCUAGUUGGAGAUUUGUGAGAUUGAGAGGUAGCCUGGUUAGAGAUUUCUGAGUUAAUGUAUUACAGCCUGGUUGGAGAUUUGUGAGAUUGAGGGGUAGCCUGGUUAGAGAUUUCUCGGUUAAUGUAUUACAGCCUGGUUGGAGAUUUGUGAGAUUGAGGGGUAGCCUGAUUGGAGAUUUGUGAGAUUGAGAGGUAGCCUGGUUAGAGAUUUCUGGGUUAAUGUAUUACAGCCUGGUUGGAGAUUUGUGAGAUUGAGGGGUAGCCUAGUUGGAGAUUUGUGAGAUUGAGAGGUAGCCUGGUUAGAGAUUUCUCGGUUAAUGUAUUACAGCCUGGUUGGAGAUUUGUGAGAUUGAGGGGUAGCCUAGUUGGAGAUUUGUGAGAUUGAGAGGUAGCCUGGUUAGAGAUUUCUCGGUUAAUGUAUUACAGCCUGGUUGGAGAUUUGUGAGAUUGAGGGGUAGCCUAGUUGGAGAUUUGUGAGAUUGAGGGGUAGCCUGGUUAGAGAUUUCUGGGUUAAUGUAUUACAGCCUGAUUGGAGAUUUGUGAGAUUGAGGGGUAGCCUGAUUGGAGAUUUGUGAGAUUGAGGGGUAGCCUGGUUAGAGAUUUCUCGGUUAAUGUAUUACAGCCUGGUUGGAGAUUUGUGAGAUUGAGGGGUAGCCUGAUUGGAGAUUUGUGAGAUUGAGGGGUAGCCUGGUUAGAGAUUUCUCGGUUAAUGUACUACAGCCUGGUUGGAGAUUUGUGAGAUUGAGGGGUAGCCUAGUUGGAGAUUUGUGAGAUUGAGAGGUAGCCUGGUUAGAGAUUUCUCGGUUAAUGUAUUACAACCUGGUUGGAGAUUUGUGAGAUUGAGGGGUAGCCUAGUUGGAGAUUUGUGAGAUUGAGAGGUAGCCUGGUUAGAGAUUUCUCAGUUAAUGUAUUACAGCCUGGUUGGAGAUUUGUGAGAUUAAGAGGUAGCCUGGUUAGAGAUUUCUGAGUUAAUGUAUUACAGCCUGGUUGGAGAUUUGUGAGAUUGAGGGGUAGCCUGGUUAGAGAUUUCUGGGUUAAUGUAUUACAGCCUGGUUGGAGAUUUGUGAGAUUGAGAGGUAGCCUGGUUAGAGAUUUCUGGGUUAAUGUAUUACAGCCUGGUUGGAGAUUUGUGAGAUUGAGAGGUAGCCUGGUUAGAGAUUUCUGAGUUAAUGUAUUACAGCCUGGUUGGAGAUUUGUGAGAUUGAGGGGUAGCCUGAUUGGAGAUUUGUGAGAUUGAGGGGUAGCCUGGUUAGAGAUUUCUGGGUUAAUGUAUUACAACCUGGUUGGAGAUUUGUGAGAUUGAGGGGUAGCCUAGUUGGAGAUUUGUGAGAUUGAGAGGUAGCCUGGUUAGAGAUUUCUGAGUUAAUGUAUUACAGCCUGGUUGGAGAUUUGUGAGUUUGUGGGAUAGCCUAGUUGGAGAUUUGUGAGAUUGAGAGGUAGCCUGGUUAGAGAUUUCUGGGUUAAUGUAUUACAGCCUGAUUGGAGAUUUGUGAGAUUGAGGGGUAGCCUGGUUAGAGAUUUCUCGGUUAAUGUAUUACAGCCUGGUUGGAGAUUUGUGAGAUUGAGGGGUAGCCUGAUUGGAGAUUUGUGAGAUUGAGAGGUAGCCUGGUUAGAGAUUUCUGGGUUAAUGUAUUACAGCCUGAUUGGAGAUUUGUGAGAUUGAGGGGUAGCCUGGUUAGAGAUUUCUCGGUUAAUGUAUUACAGCCUGGUUGGAGAUUUGUGAGAUUGAGGGGUAGCCUGAUUGGAGAUUUGUGAGAUUGAGAGGUAGCCUGGUUAGAGAUUUCUGGGUUAAUGUAUUACAGCCUGGUUGGAGAUUUGUGAGAUUGAGGGGUAGCCUGGUUGGAGAUUUGUGAGAUUGAGAGGUAGCCUGGUUAGAGAUUUCUGGGUUAAUGUAUUACAGCCUGAUUGGAGAUUUGUGAGAUUGAGGGGUAGCCUGGUUAGAGAUUUCUCGGUUAAUGUAUUACAGCCUGGUUGGAGAUUUGUGAGUUUGUGGGAUAGCCUAGUUGGAGAUUUGUGAGAUUGAGAGGUAGCCUGGUUAGAGAUUUCUCGGUUAAUGUAUUACAGCCUGGUUGGAGAUUUGUGAGAUUGAGGGGUAGCCUGAUUGGAGAUUUGUGAGAUUGAGGGGUAGCCUGGUUAGAGAUUUCUCGGUUAAUGUAUUACAGCCUGAUUGGAGAUUUGUGAGAUUGAGGGGUAGCCUGAUUGGAGAUUUGUGAGAUUGAGGGGUAGCCUGGUUAGAGAUUUCUGGGUUAAUGUAUUACAGCCUGGUUGGAGAUUUGUGAGAUUAAGGGGUAGCCUGAUUGGAGAUUUGUGAGAUUGAGAGGUAGCCUGGUUAGAGAUUUCUCGGUUAAUGUAUUACAGCCUGGUUGGAGAUUUGUAGGUUGAAGCAUAAGAACUUCUUUUGAGAUAUGUGAGAUUGAGGGGUAGCUGGAUGGAAAUUUCUGUGUUGGUGUAUUAUAGCUGGUUGUGUAGCAUUACGGCCAAGUUGUAUCUUAAUGAUUUGAAGUAUCACAGUUGGGGUUUGAUUUGAACAGCCAGGUUGGAGGCUUGUUGGUUGGCCAGCUUAGGGGCUAGCUGGUUAGCCUUUUUGGAAAUUUAUGGGUUGAAGAAUACAGACAGGAUGUUGAUAUAAUAGUUGGAGCUUGAAAUAUGUUAGCUUGGGGCAUUAUGACCUGUGUUUGUAUUUAAUCCUGCUUGUACUUGCAUUAGUUAUGAAAAUCAUUAGGUGAUAACACCUAGGUUACGCCAGAGACAUGUCAUUGUAUGUAAGGGCUAUCACAGUGCUAUCAGUGUCUGUUUGAGGCAGAGAGUUCAGUUCAGACAUAGAUAAAAUUAGACUUUUUCCACUGCAACAUUGUAAAGCUUAUCAGUGUGUGUUUAUGCUAUCUGUUGUUUGCAUUGUAGGGAGGCUGAUUAGUGUAAGUCUGUGAUAAAAGCUUUGAUCCCCUAAGUUGCCUGAUAGCUUCUGUUGCAGGUAGUAGUAAGGGCAUGAUAAACAGAAAAUAACCGUAUACAUAGGGUUCCCACUGAACAUUACUUGGCUUCUCAUUCUUAGUGCUGGGUGUACCAUUUCCUUGUAUAUAAUGCAUUAUACAUGUGAAAAAUUUAGACUCGAUUCAUAAUCUAUAGUUAGGAUGAAAAUGACAAAAUAAUUACUUGGAUUAUUUCCUUUUAUGUUUUUU